This 240-nucleotide unclassified non-coding RNA is filed under the name soil metagenome. RNAcentral describes it as "partial contains 5.8S ribosomal RNA, internal transcribed spacer 2, and large subunit ribosomal RNA". The record is from RNAcentral.
AAGACUAUAGACCUGCGGAGUACCUGCGGAAGGAUCAUACCGAGUGCGGGCCCUCUGGGUCCAACCUCCCACCCGUGUUUAUUGUACCUUGUUGCUUCGGCGGGCCCGCCAUUCUGGCCGCCGGGGGGCUUGCCCCCGGGCCCGCGCCCGCCGAAGACACCCUCGAACUCUGUCUGAAGAUUGUAGUCUGAGUGGAAUUAUAAAUUAUUAAAACUUUCAACAAUGGAUCUCUAGAUCGGA